Molecule: transfer RNA, 74 nt
Filed under: bacterium ADurb.Bin157
Lineage: Bacteria
Description: tRNA-Thr
Rfam family: tRNA
About the family: Transfer RNA (tRNA) molecules are approximately 80 nucleotides in length.
Source: RNAcentral
AGCCGGAAUAGCUCAGUGGCAGAGCAGCUGUUUCGUAAACAGCAGGUCGCAGGUUCAAUCCCCGUUUCCGGCUU